GACGAACGCUGGCGGCGUGCCUAAUACAUGCAAGUCGAACGCUGAAGGAGGGCCUUGGUCUUCUGGUUGAGUUGCGAACGGGUGAGUAACGCGUAGGUAACCUGCCUGGUAGUGUGGGAUAACUUUUGGAAACGAUAGCUAAUACCGCAUAACAGUAGAUGUUGCAUGACAUUUACUUAAAAGGUGCAAUUGCAUCACUACCACAUGGGCCUGCGGUGGAUUAGCUAGUUGGAGGGGUAUCGGCUCACCAAGGCGACGAUACAUCGCCGACCGGAGAGGGUGAUCGGCCGCACAGGGACGGAGACACGGCCCAGACUCCUACGGGAGGCAGCAGGAGGGAAUCGUCGGCAAUGGACGGAAGUCUGACCGAGCAACGCCGCGGGAGUGAAGAAGGUUGUCGGAUCGUAAAGCUCUGUUGUAAGAGAAGAACGAGUGUGAGAGUGGAAAGUUCACACUGUGACGGUAUCUUACCAGAAAGGGACGGCUAACUACGUG
Molecule: ribosomal RNA, 495 nt
Filed under: uncultured bacterium
Lineage: Bacteria
Description: partial 16S ribosomal RNA
Rfam family: Bacterial small subunit ribosomal RNA
Source: RNAcentral